Molecule: ribosomal RNA, 253 nt
Filed under: uncultured bacterium
Lineage: Bacteria
Also listed under: 1 other name
Description: partial 16S ribosomal RNA
Rfam family: Bacterial small subunit ribosomal RNA
Source: RNAcentral
UACGAAGGUCCCGAGCGUUGUUCGGAAUCACUGGGCGUAAAGGGAGCGUAGGCGGCGUGGUAAGUCAGAUGUGAAAUCCCGGGGCUCAACCCCGGAACUGCAUCCGAUACUGCCGUGCUAGAGGAUUGGAGAGGUAGCUGGAAUUCUUGGUGUAGCAGUGAAAUGCGUGGAUAUCAAGAGGAACACUCGUGGCGAAAGCGAGCUACUGGACAACUCCUGACGCUGAGGCUCGAAGGCCAGGGUAGCGAAAGGG